GCCAGCCAAUGCUCCAGAGACAAAAUGUGACUUCUAAAGGUGGCUAUGGAAUAUUUUUAGCAGAACCAAAUGUGGGCAUGCCUUGUGUUGCUGCACUUGCCUUACUGCCCUUUGCAGAUAUUGUGUAUUUCACAAAGUGAAGGUUUGUGGCAACGCUGUAUCCAGCAAGUCCAUUGGUUCCCUUUUCCCAACAGCAUGUGCUCACAUCACGUCUCUGAGUCACAUUUUGGAAAUUCUUGGAAUAUUUUAAACAUUAUUAUUCUAUGUGUAUAGCCAUCUGCGAUCAGUGAUCUUUGUCUUAGCUGUUUUGGGGAGCCACCAGCCAUGCCCAUAGGACUUAAAUGAUAAAUGUUGUGUGUGUUCUGACUUCUCUAUCAGCUCCUCCCCAUCUCUCUCCCUCUCCUUGAACCUUCCUAUUCCCUAAGACAUGACAAUAUUGAGAUUAGGCCAAUUGCUAAUGCGGAGGUGGCCUCUAAAUGUACAAGUGAGAGGAAGAGUCACAUGCCUCUCACUUGAAAUCGAAAGCUAAUAAUGACUAAGCUUAGCGAGGAAGGUAUGUUGAAAGCUGAGAUAGGUCAAACGCUGGGCCUCUUGCAACAAACAGCCAAGGUGUGAAUGCAAAGGAAAAGUCAUUGAAGAACAUUAGGCAUGCCACUCCAGUGAAUUCAUGAAUUAUAAGAAAGAAAGAGCCUUAUUGCUGAUAUGGAGAAAGUCUGAGUGGUCUGGAUGCUUCCACUCAUCCACCAGCCACAACAUUCCCUUAAGCCAAAGCCUAAUCCCUAACUUCCUUUAAUUCUUUAAAGGCUAAAAGAGGUGAGGAAGGUGCAGAAGAAAAGUGUGAAGCCAGCAGAGGUUGGUUCAUGAGGUUUAAGGAAAGAAGCUGUUUCCAUAACUUAAAAGUGCAAGGUGAAGCAGCAAGUUAUCCAGAAGCUCUAGUUAAGAUCACUGAUAAAGAUGGCUACCCUGGACAAUGGCAGAGUUGCAGUAGCCUCCUAUUGGAAGAAGAGGCCAUCUAGGAUUUGCAUAGCUAGAGUGAAGUCAAAUUCUGGCUUCUUCAAAGAACAGGCUGACUCUCUCGUUAGGGGUUAAUGCAGCUUGUGACUUCAAGUUGAAACCAACGUUAGUUUACCAUUCUGAAAAUCCUGAGGCCCUUAAGAAUUAGGCUAAAUCUACUCUGCCUGUGCUGUGUAACUGGAAGAACAAAGUCUGGAUGACAGCUCAUCAGUUUACAGCAUGGCUUACUGAAUAUUUUAAGUCCACUGUUGAACUUACUACACAGAAAAAAGGAUUUCUUUCAGAGUAUCACUGCUCAUUGACACUGCACAUUGUCACCCAGGAGCUCUGAUGGAGCUGUACGAGUAGUUUCAUGUUGUUUUCAUGCCUGCUAACACAGCAUCCAUCUACAACCCAUGGAUUGAAGAGUAAUUUCAUCUUUCAAGUCUUAUUAUUUAAGAAAUAGGGCCAGGCACUGUGGCUCAUGCCUAUAAUCCUGACACUUUGGGAGGCCAAGGCAGAAGACCACUGGAGGCCAGGAGUUGAAGGCCAGCCUGCUCAACAUAGCAAGAUCCUGUCUCUACAAUAAUAAUAAUAAUUAGCUGGGUGCGAUGGUGUAUGCCUGUAGUCCCAGGUACAUGGGAGGCUACAGUGGCAAGAUCGUUUGAGCCCAGGAGUUCUAGGCUUCACUGAACUAUGUUCAUGCCACUGCACCCUAGCCUGGGCAAUAGAGUGAGACUUGAAACUAAAAAAAAAAAGAAAUCUAGGCUUCUAGCGACCAAAGUAUACUGAAAACCUUCUGGAAAGGAUUCAACCUUCUAGAUGCCAUUAAGAACAUUCAUGACUCAUAAGAAGUCAAAAUGUCAACAUUAACAGGAGUUUAGAAGAAGUGGAUUCCAACCCUCAUGGAUGACUUUGAGAGGUUCAAGGCUUCAGUGGAGGAAGUCACUGCAGAUGUGGUAAGAAUAUAAAGGGGAAAUUAAAGAGGAGCCUGUGAAGACAUGACAAUUGCUACAAUCUCAUUAUCAAAUUUGAAUGAACGACGGUUGCUUCUUAUGAAUGAACAAGGAAAGUGGUUUCUUGAGAUGGAAUCUACUCCUGGUGAAGAUGUUGUAAACAUUGCUAAAAUGACAACAAAGUAUUUAGAAUAUUAUGUAAACUGAGUUGAUAACACAGUGGCCGAUUUGAGAGGGUUGACUCAAAUUUUGAAAGAAGUUCUGUGGAUAAAUGCCAUCAAACAAUGUCACAUGCUACAGAGAAAUCUUUCAUGAAAGGAAGAGUCAACAGACACAGCAAACUUUACCAUGGUCUUAUUUUAAGAAAUUGCGACAGCCUCCCCAACCUUCAGCAACCACCACCCUGACUGGUCAGCUGCAAUCCACCUUGAGGCAAGAUCCUCUACCAGGAAAAAGAUUGUGACUCGCUGAAGAUUCAGAUGAUCAUUAUCAUUUCUUAGCAAUAAGGUAUUUUUAAAUUAAGGUGGAAAUUUUGGCCUGGGGGAGCUGACCUGAUCAACACUUCUUCAGUUCAUGGAUGCUACUAACCAGUGCUACAGAAGGAUGAGAACACUGUAGAACGAUUUGUACUUCCACGGUUUCUGCUGUGUGAGUACUACGUGCGGGGGUUGGACCGGCUGCAGGAAGAGUGGGUACGAUACCUGCAAGCCACCCUCUGGCUUUCGUAAUGGCUACUCCACUUGAAACUGUCUCUCAGCAAUUUGGGUGCUUUCUUUCUUUUCUGGUCCCCCUAAAACACAAAACUGUAUUACAUCUUCAGGCCGCAUGCUUUUAUAUAAAACAGAGCUGUCACUGGAUUUUACUGAAAAGUUGAUUUAUUUCUGAGGAUCAUGGGAGUCUAAGCAUGAAACUGGCAUCUGGCAAGAGGGAGAGAGAGAGCCUUUGACCUAGAAGCAGAGGCAGCUUCCAAGCUGUGCUGGCACGUAAGAGAACAGGGUACUUGUAGCAAAAAUCAUGGCCUCAAACUUUCUAGGGGAAAAAUCCUAAAGCCGCCCUCCAAAAAGGAAAGCUAAAAUCAAUAGCUUACAUUUUUUACUCUCUCAAACAAGCAAUAUUUAACCGUUCUAUACAAAGCAAUGCUUUAAAUCUAGCUUUUGUUUUUAUGUCAACAGAGCUUGAACUCUUAAAAUGGAAUCUUGAUAUCAAUCUAUUUCUUUAAAUCAGCCAAGCAGGCCCUCAUUUGGUAACUCUCUGAAAGUCUGUGUGAAUGUGUAGUAAACGUAAUUUUUUUUCUUUUUUCUUUUUUUUCCUGAGGCCUUGAGCUGUAAUUAUUAAAGUUUCAAAUGUCCCCAGUGAUCUUAGCUAGAUAAUCAAAUUUGGAUCAUAAGAAUGAAAUAACUUAAAGUGUGCCUUCAUUACUGCUCUACUGAAAAUAAUGCAGUUAAUAUCAUUCUUACCCUCCUCCACCUCCAAAUCCAUUACUAGACCAUGGAGAUAGACAGUAAAUUUCUAAGAACAUUCAAAAUGAUAAAAUUAAUUCUCAAAACAAAAAUUUCCAUAUGUAUAUCUAACACGUAGAAUUUUUUUGCCACCACAAAAAUAAGGCCAGGUGCAAUGGCUCACACCUGUAAUCCCAACACUUAGGGAAGCCAAGGCAGGAGGAUUGUUUGAGCCCAAGAGUUCAAGACCAGCCUCAGUAACAAUAAUGACACUCCCAUCUCUACAAAAAAGAAAAAAAUAUUAGCGAGGUGUGGUGGUGCAUGUCUGUAGUCCCAGCUACUUCAGAGGCUGAGGCAGGAAGGUUGCUUGAGUCCAGGAGUUUGAGGCUGUAGUGAGCCAGGAUCAUGCCCCUGCACUCCAGCCUGGGUGACAGAGCAAGACACUGUCUCAAAAACAACAGAAACAACAAUAACAAAAGUAGCAUAAAAUAUUCCUGAAAUAUUUUGCAAAACAACAAAGCAAAAUGUUGACUAGAAUUGCAAAAGUUAAGAGACCUUACUGCCAAACGAGCUAUUGAAGAGCUUACCGAUUAACUUUCUAGAAAACAGGAAAGAACACUCUUCAAAAACAGCUGAUUGAGAAGAGUUUUUAUUAAUGAACUACAUCUGUAUCCACCGGAAAAGUUAUCUAUGAAUAUAUAAGUAAUACUGAACAAAGAAUAUAUUUAGUCUUGUAGAAACUUAUACCAUGUGAAAUCAAGAUUUCAUCCAAUUGAGCAGUACUAAAGUUUUUGUUAUCCUUUCGUUUACUAAAAAGAUAAAAGUCUCCUUUCCUCCCACUUACCUCUCUCUCCAAAAGAGGCUGGGAGAAGUUCUUAGACCAGGAAGGCACGGGGUGGGAAGUAAUUGUGUAAGUCUCCCAGUCUCCUCUGCCAAUGCUUUUUAAUCCUUAUCCACCAAUCUUCCCUGGUAUUUCAUGAAAAGAGGAUCCCAGCUGUGACAAAUAGUAUGGUAGCUAUAUAAUCUAGACAACCAACAGGGGUUUAGGACAGAAAUUAACAAAUCUAUUUUAGCUUGAAACCUUACUUGUAAAGAAUAACAACCAGUUUCCCAAACAUCUACAGACCAGACAGAAACACCAUCAUCUUGCUUCAUAAGAACCCAAGCACGAGGGCUGCCAUGAUUGAGGUCUUCUAGAAUUGGGUUUUGCUCAUCACAGCAGUGUCCACCUUCAAUGAGGGCUAGAGGAGAGCAAACACAGGACUAGGAGGGCGACAUCUUAGGUUCCAGUGCUGAAUUUGCCAUGAAUUAGUUGUAUGAUCUUUGCCAAUUUCCUGCAACUCUUUGGCUCAGAUUCCUGUCUAUAAAAUGAAAAAAAAAAAAAAAAAAAAAGGAACUAGAUUCUGUAAGGAUCCUUCCAGUUCUAACAAAAUGGUAUUGCAUAGCUAUAUUUUUUACACUGUAAGUAAGUAACAGGCGACCCUCUCCUCGUUAUUCUGCAUCCAGUUAGAUUCAUCAAUACUUUUUUUUGUUUUUUGUUUUCUGCAGAUGCACUAAGAGAUGGUGUCGGGUUUGGGAACCUAACUCAUUCCUGGUACCAAUCACUGGUCACUUCUCAGAUGUGGAGUCAACUCAAUGUGCUUUCGUGUCCUACCUCCUUAGAUUCUUGUAGAACAACCCAUUUUCUGGCACUGGAAUUCCCAUUACAUUCCAUGGGAACAUUAUUUCACAACUGAAAGUGUGAGGAAGACACGGUGAAGAGCUCUGGGCUGCCACGUGUGUUUGUGAUACUCCCUGGAGGACUCAGAAUUCAUUAAUCGACGGCUCUCACUCUCUUUAACCUUUGAGAGUUAUCAUAUGCAUAGUGUCAACAUUUAAUAAUUUUUUUUUUUGAGACAGAUUCUUGCUCUAUUGCCCAGGCUGGAGUGCAGUGGCACAAUCUCAGCUCACUGCAACCUCCGCCUCCCAGGUUCAAGUGAUCCUCCUGCCUCAGCCUCCUGAGUAGCUAGGAUUACAGGCACCCACCACCAAGCCUGGCUAAUUUUUCUAUUUUUUUUUUUUUAGUAGAGAUGGGGUUUUUCCAUGUUGGGCAGACUGGUCUCGAACUCCUGACCUCAGGUGAUCUGCCCACCUCAGACUCCCAAAGUGCUGGAAUUAAAGGUGUGUGCCACCAUGUCUGGCCUACAUUUAAAAAUUUUAACUAGGGCUUGGAGGGCAAUUUGAGAUAGUAUGUUGCAAAACAUCACCAAUGAGACCUGGCAUGUGAGAGAAUUUUCCUGCACUAAGAAGGACAGCAGAUGCCACAUAGAGGAGCUGCAAACUGGGAGCAAACCCACUACACCCUACUAUGAGCCUUUCCUGUUUUGUCAGCUAGCAUGGUUUCCUAAAUCUCAGAUUGCAGCAGAACUGUUCUGCAAUUCCAUGGCUGGCUAUUUCGGGAGCCUAACACAGCAGGACAAAUGUGCACAAGUCCACACAGUAUGACAGAAGAAUUAAAAAUGUAUUUACCAUCUGUUGGUAGUUUCCUUGCGGGUCCCUUUUCUUUUCCUCUCCUGCAGCCACAAAUAGGGUCUUCUCACUUCCUUCCAACUUCAGAAAGCUGGGUUCUCUUCACAUCUCUGCAAAUGCAGGACUUGGAUGUUUUUUUUUUUCUUUUUUCUUCUUCAAAUUUCCCAGACUGUUGAACUCUGGUCUAUUUCAGCUUCUAGAAUCAUUUCCCUCAAAUGCAAAGAGGAGUGAGGCUGUGGAGAGGUUAUAGCGUUUUGCACAUUUUGUGUGGCCAGGCUACUUUCAGACACUGUGCUUUGAUUGUGGUCAAAGAGGAUUCUGGGAAGCUUGUGGGAUCCCAGCGUAACUGAAGGAAAUUAAGUCAUUAAAUAAGGCCUGAGAAUUCAUGUUGGCCUUUUAUGAUCUCCUUUGUCCUUACCGUAAUGGGAUGCUUUAGACAGGGUUUUAAUAGGAAAGGGUUCUAGGAAUUCAAGCAGGAACUUCCAGUGAGAGUCACUUCCAGCCCACAUCGUAGCAUGAGUAAAAAUUAUAAGCUGGAAUAUAAUUUUGUUAGUUGGGACACCACUUAGGUUGAUCUGAAGCCAAUUCGCUUAUGGAGAAAUACUCAGUUCUCAAUAAGCAUCACUAGCUUUAACUUCUGUGAUAUAGGUGUUAUUCAUAAUUCAUGAAUAAUCCAAAAACUAGAGAUUGGUAUUAAAAAUGGUCUCUUAGCCAAAAGAUUGCAAUGCAGUGUUAUGACUCUAACUGUCCUAUUUCAUCCGGGUAAUGACUUGCUAACAAUUCUCAGGCUGCAUAGGUGGAUAACUUCACUUUGAAACCAGUGCUGGAUGACCUUGAACUUUGGUGAGGUCCAUUACACUGCAAGCCUUGGUUUAAUCACCCAGUAAGUGAGAAUCAUGGUCUCUAUCUCACAGUCUCCUCUUGGGGAUGAAAUGAAAUGACAUCUGCAAAGCCUGAAUGUGAGACUCAGCUCAUUCCAAUUCAGCCUUAACAGUCAUGGCAGACGCAAAGGCAAAGGUCAAGUGAAGAGAGUAUGUAUUAUACCAUAGCGUGGACUACAUGGCUUAGUUUUGGAUUAGCUCCUAAUAAGAUAAUCAUUGUGUUGAGGCUGAUAGAACUUUGCACGUAGUAGGUUUUGGAAAAUAUUAUUGAUUACUUCAUUUAAUAGUCAAUGCCUAUUUAGUGGGUGUCUAUCAUAUGCCAAGAACUAUUGUAGAAGAAUGAGACAGUAAAAAAAAAAAAAAUCUGCCCUCCUGACAAUAAACAAACAAAAAAAACUAGAUGGCAUAGAGUCUUAUAAGAUGAUACACGUAUGGGAUAAAUGAGCAGGGCAGCGGGGACCAGGAAAGUCAGGGAGCAGAGUUUUCAGUAGGGUGUUCACAGCAGGCUUCAUUAGGAAGUUAAUUCUUAGAAAAAAAGAAGUGGGGCUGGGUGCAGUGGCUCGCACUUGUAAUCCCAGCACUUUGGGAGGCUGAGGCAGGCAGAUCAUGAGGUCAAGAGAUGGAGACCAUCCUGGCCAACAUGGUGAAACCCUGUCUUUACUAAAAAAUACAAAAAUUAGCUGGGUGUGGUGGUGUGUGCUUAUAGUCCCAGCUACUCAGGAAGCUGAGGCAGGAGAAUUGCUUGAACCCGGGAGGUGGAGGUUGCAGUGAGUCGAAAUCAUGCCACUGCACUCCAGCCUGGCAUCUGGUGACAGAGCCAGACUCUGCCUCAAAAAAAAAAAAAAAACCUAGAUCGAGACCAUCGUGGUCAACAUGGUGAAACCCUGUCUCUACCAAAAAUACAAAAAUUAGCUGGGCAUGAUGGCACAUGCCUGUAGGCCCAGGUACUCGGAAGGCUGAGACAAGAGAAUCACAACCUGGGAGGCAGAGGGUGCAGUGAGCCAAGAGCAUGCCAUUGCACUCCAGCAUGGUGACAAAGCAAGACAGUCUUAAAAAAAAAAAAGAAAAGAAAAAAAGAACGUGAACAAGGUGAAGAAGUGAACCAUGUGAACACUAGAGGGAAAAGCAUUUCAAGCCGAGGGAACAGCAAAUACAAAGACCCUGAGGCAAGAGAACAGUUGGCUUGUCUGAGGACCAGCAAAGAGGAUAGUGAGCCUGGUGAUGUGGGAGCAGGCACGGUGAGAGAUGAGAUGAGAAGAGCUGAGGACCUAUCAAGGGUAGCCCUGCCAGCCACGAGGGGCUUUUACCUGACUAUGGGGUAGCCCUUGGGCACCACUGAGCAGAGCUGUGGCAUCAACCAAUGCUGAGAGUAAAGUGUGGUGUGGGCUGGUAACUGGGGAAGCAAGGGCCAACUUCGGAGGCUGCCGCAGUAACCCUGAUCUUCAUCAGUGGUGGUUUAACACCAGUGGUAGCAGUCCCAGGGCUGAAAAAUGGUCAGAUUCUGGAUAUGUUUUGAAGGUAGAUCUAAUUUGAUUUUUGGCAAAUUGGAUGUGGGGUCUCAACAACAGAGUCAAGAUCCCGCCAAUGGUUCUGGGCUUGAACAGGUGGAAAAAUGGAGUUGCCAUUUUCUGAGAUUUGCAUAUAAGAACUGUGUUCUCUAUCUCAAGAGGACUUCCUUGGUAUUCUGGCUUGAGUGCGAGCCCUCGCCUUCCACCCGCUGAGGGAAACUUCUUGAAACAAAUGAAUUUCUAGUUGCUUUUUGGAAAAGGAGAACCAGAAAGACCAAGGUCUUCAUAAGCACUUUGAUAACACUCAAAUAGAUGGGCGCUGUGACUCACGCCUGUAAUCCCAGCACUUUGGGAGGCCCAGGUGGGUAGAUCACGAGGUCAAGAGAUAGAAACCAUCCUGGUCAACAUGGUGAAACCCCAUUUCUACUAAAAUACAAAAAUUAGGUGGGCCUGGUGGUGGGGGCCUGUGGUCCCAGCUGCUAGGGAGGCUGAGGUAGGAGAAUCGCUUGAACCUGGGAGGCAGAGGUUGCAGUGAGCUGAGAUCGCGCCACUGCACUCCAGCCCGGAGACAGAGUGAGACUCUGUCUCAAAAAAUUAUUUAAAUAAUAAAUAAAUAGACAGUAAAAGAAAGCCAAACAGUUAGCAUUGUAUUUCCUCAAUGUCAAAUUCAUUUAGUUUUUUCUAAAUGAAUUUAGUUUUUUCUUCUUCACGCCAACCCCACAGGCUGGAAGACCAAUUCGGCAGAGGGAAGCUGCUGGUGCAUCGGGCUCCCAGCAGAGGGAGCUAAGGAGGGCGGAGGAGGACGUGGACACCAGCUGAGGACCUGUGCAGGAGUGUCAUGUACUUGUGCUCUCUGAGGCCUGGGGCCAGAAGCCAGAUGUUUUUCCGGCCUGUAACAGAUCUACCAGUGAGAUCACGCAUUCACCGACAGUCUACUCUCAGUGAUCAUUAUUACAAACCACGAUAAGGUCUGUGUUACACAGUGCAAGGGAGAAACAUGAGGAAGGUAGAAAAAUAAGUUAUUCACGACAUUGCUGUGGAUUCUAAGGUCUCAAACUGCAGGUACUUAGAACCAAUUACUGUGCCUCCUCAGCCCCAAUAUCUGUACCAGUGUUGUUCAUUAGAAAUGAAAUACACAACCUUUCCACACAUGUGAUAUUAAACUUUAUAGUAGCCACAUUAAGAAAAGUGAAAAGAGGCUGGGUGUGGUGUAAUCUCAGCAUUUUGGGAGGCCAAGGCCCAGAAGUUCAAUAGCAGCCUGGGCAACAUGGCGAAACUCCAUCUCUGCAAAAGACACAAAAAUUAGCUGGGCAUAGUGGCAUGCCUGUAGUCCCAGCUACUCAGGAGGCUGAGGUGGAAGGAUCACAAGCCCAGGAGGCAGAGGUUGCAGGGAGCAGAGACUUCACUGCUGCACUGCACUCCAGCCUGGGUGACAGACUUAGACCCUGUCUCAAAAAAAAAAAAAAAAAGUAAAAAAAGAAACAGGUAAAACAAAGUUUAAUAUUUUGUUUAACCCAAUAUAUGCUAUUAAAAAAUAACCCAAUAUUUUCAUUUCAA
Non-coding RNA from Callithrix jacchus (white-tufted-ear marmoset), 9842 nucleotides. NCBI's taxonomy places the organism in Eukaryota, Metazoa, Chordata, Mammalia, Primates, Cebidae. The record is from RefSeq and is a predicted model, not a curated record.